Molecule: transfer RNA, 72 nt
Filed under: Phrynosoma platyrhinos (Desert horned lizard)
Lineage: Eukaryota; Metazoa; Chordata; Lepidosauria; Squamata; Phrynosomatidae
Description: tRNA-OTHER
Source: RNAcentral
GCAAGUGUGGAGUAGUGGUUUGAGUGUUGGACUACAACUCUGGAGACCAGGGUUUGAUUCCCAGCUCGGCCG